CCUACCUUUAAUACUUCUAAGGAUGAAAGAAUAGCAGGUACAAAAUUAGCUCUGUUUAAUUCUGUCCCCUCUGAUGAACCUGUGAGGUGAAAUGCGCGUCAGGGGAAACAUCACUGGCGCUAUCCACCAAUCACUUUACUAAGAGUGACCUGUCACUGCACUAAGAGUGACCUCUUUACUUACCAUACCAAAUAGAGCUUUCUAUCGGCAUCGGCUCGACCGUUACCCAG
Molecule: non-coding RNA, 230 nt
Organism: Pelobates cultripes (western spadefoot toad)
Lineage: Eukaryota; Metazoa; Chordata; Amphibia; Anura; Pelobatidae
Source: the annotation of a GenBank genome assembly